UUGGUCACCCCUGGACAAUGAAACCCUCUAUCCACAGACAAGGUAUAAACACAUGCAGCAGCAGUACAAGCUUCUCCCACCGUGUCUGGGACCAGGAGGGACUACACCAAGAGUCAGAGGGGAAUUCAGGCUCCAUAGCUCAUUCAAUCCCUGGCCUCU
Molecule: small RNA, 159 nt
Filed under: Chrysemys picta bellii (western painted turtle)
Lineage: Eukaryota; Metazoa; Chordata; Testudines; Emydidae
Description: TUC338 (ENSCPBG00000000401.1)
Source: RNAcentral